This 1046-nucleotide long non-coding RNA is filed under the name Nicotiana benthamiana. RNAcentral's name for it is "long non-coding RNA (NBEN_LNC029409)". Lineage: Eukaryota; Viridiplantae; Streptophyta; Magnoliopsida; Solanales; Solanaceae. The record is from RNAcentral.
AAAUCCAUUGCAGCGUAAUUCUCUCAUUAUGUACCGGAAAUAAAUCUCUCUUCUGUAUCUCAACUACAAUUCAAGAAACACGCACUGUGCAGAAUCUCCAGCAAUCAAAUUGUAGAAAUUCAAAAUUGUUGAAUACAAUUGUUCGUUGACAUCAGUACAAAAAUUCUUAAAUCUAUAUAUGUUCUUCGUCUGUUUUUCUAUCAACUAUACGAAAUUAUGUCAAAAAUCCCAAUAAUGUUGGAAUCGAAUGGCCAUUGGGAUAACUAUGAUAGAUUUAGAGAUUUCGAAGUUGAUUCCAUUUUUGUAGAUGAUAAUACAAGCUAUGGAAUUCUCAUUUCUACAAUUGCAGAACAAUUAUCGAUUGAUACAUCGGAUAAAAUUAUAGAAAUAAAAUACAUUGUGAACGAGAAUUGUCUUCCAUUGGAGAUUAGGAAUGAUAUGAGGGUUCGUGUAUAUAUUGAAACGAAAAAGGAGAAUAAAAACUUAGGUUCAUAUCCCUUAUGUAUUUGCGUAGGAGAUUUCAAUAUGGAAUUGGCAAUCACCAAUGAAAGCAUCAGUACAGGUAUGUUUGAUUCGACAUUGCAGAGACUUAUUGUAUUACUUAGUUAUCUACAAUAUAACGACAUUUGCCUACAAUUAAACUAUUAUUAUCAUAUAGUACUAGAAAGGAUAAAGCGAUGUUGCUUUCAAAUUAACCUACAUAGUUACUACAUUUGUGAAUUUAUUGUUUGCAGGUUCUUCAGGAUCCCUAAGGUUAUUAGAAAUUCCAUCCUCGCCAGCUAUAGAGGAAUAUCAAAGUGAAAUAAUAAUUGAAUGUAAGCAAACAUGUAUUGAAGAAGGACAACUGUAUCAGGACAAGAAAACAAUAGCUGCUGCAAUGAAGAAUUAUUCAGUUAUGCACAAGUUCCAGUUCAGAGUGAAAAGAUCAAGUCAUAGAAGGUAUGUGGACACGUGUAUCAGGACAAGAAAAUAGUAGCUGCUGCAAUGAAGAAUUAUUUCGUGAUUCACAAGUUGCAGUUCAGAUUAAAAAGAUCAAGUCAUAGAAG